RNAcentral lists this ribosomal RNA (359 nucleotides) under uncultured bacterium. RNAcentral's name for it is "bacterial SSU rRNA". It matches the Rfam family "Bacterial small subunit ribosomal RNA", at positions 29 to 418 of the family's 1533-position model. The record is from RNAcentral.
AACGAACGCUGGCGGCAGGCUUAACACAUGCAAGUCGAACGCCCCGCAAGGGGAGUGGCAGACGGGUGAGUAACGCGUGGGAAUGUGCCCUUUGGUUCGGAACAACUCCGGGAAACUGGAGCUAAUACCGAAUGUGUCCGAGAGGAGAAAGAUUUAUCGCCAAAGGAUCAGCCCGCGUUGGAUUAGCUAGUUGGUGGGGUAAAAGCCUACCAAGGCGACGAUCCAUAGCUGUUCUGAGAGGAAGAUCAGCCACACUGGGACUGAGACACGGCCCAGACUCCUACGGGAGGCAGCAGUGGGAAUCUUGGACAAUGGGCGCAAGCCUGAUCCAGCCAUGCCGCGUGAGUGAUGAAGGCCCU